This 208-nucleotide ribosomal RNA is filed under the name uncultured bacterium. RNAcentral describes it as "partial 16S ribosomal RNA". It matches the Rfam family "Bacterial small subunit ribosomal RNA", at positions 568 to 774 of the family's 1533-position model. The record is from RNAcentral.
UGCGUAGGUGGCCAGGUAAGUUCGGUGUGAAAGCUCGGAGCUUAACUCCGAAAUGGCAUUGAAUACUAUCUGGCUAGAGGGUCGGAGGGGAGGACUGGAAUUCUCGGUGUAGCAGUGAAAUGCGUAGAUAUCGAGAGGAACACCAGUGGCGAAGGCGAGUCUCUGGACGACUCCUGACACCGAGGCACGAAAGCCAGGGGAGCAAACA